RNAcentral lists this long non-coding RNA (1595 nucleotides) under Cyanistes caeruleus (blue tit). RNAcentral's name for it is "lncRNA (ENSCCEG00000022858.1)". Lineage: Eukaryota; Metazoa; Chordata; Aves; Passeriformes; Paridae. The record is from RNAcentral.
GGGCCCAGAGGCAUUAUCUGUCCUCGUCCUUCAGUGGGAACACACGGGUUGUUCAACAAGUGCUUCUCCCCCCGGCACCCAGGCUCAGCACAAAUGUGUGUCCUACCCCCUGAGGUUCUUCCAAAGGGGAGCCAGGACACAGGCUCCUGAUGGAGGGUGAGUCACAGAACACGUCACCAGAAAACAAACUCUAGUAACCUCCUGUGAGCUGCAUUUCACACUGCAAAUAGGCAAGUUUUCCCAAAGCCAGAACUUAUCCACUAAUCUCUUACUGGCAGGUACACAUCUCUCCUCCUCCUCCUCACGACAUCAGGGCUGUGCUAUGCACGAUAUGUCCCCAGGAGCACCUUGAAAGGUCACUCCAAAACAAAGUACAAAGUUACAAUAGGUACAAAUGUUCUGACUGCUGAUGGACACGGAUAAGAAUUGGUGCUUAUGGAGUGACAGAUCCAGGAUGAUUCCCAAGACAGCUGUUUGCAGCUGCAAAAGGUUUCCAGUGCCCUCAGUACCAAUCACCCAUCUUCAGCACAGAAGUCUUCAGUUUAUUAUUCUGCAACUGUGUCUAGCAAGACCUCAGUUUCCUGUUGCCUGCUGAUCAGACACCAAGUUAUGGAAGAAUCUCUGGCAUGAUGCUACUGUAGUCUAUGAUUUUCAGAGGAAGGAUCCAGGCUGAAAGCUUUCUGGUGACAUUCCAAGUAAGCUGUCAUGAGAAGAGAAUCCAACACCCAAGACCUCAGUGCUUAGGGAAAAUCAGAGGGUUUCAUCUACUCAGAAGAAAAGAGUAGAACUAUAAAUGCUAACUCAGUAAGUCCCCAGGAAUGAGCAUGUGCCAUGCUGAGACUGAAUGCAUCAUUAGCAAUUCCCUGGGGCCGGAUGUCUAUUUCAGACUGCACAGUGUAACAGCUCCAGGGAACGUACAGCCAGAGGAUGCUGAUAAUUUCACAGUUUCUGCUUCCCUGUGAGGCAGAAAAUAGAAGUGCUCUGAAGCUCUUUCCCAGGAACACAGAAGUAACGUUUUCCAAAGCCAUCAAAAGGAGAGGAAGAUAGGUGUGUUCUCUGCAAUCUGGGAGAAAGGGAAACAGAAUAAUCUGCUGCUCUGGCUGCUAAAGGAGGCUUUUGGCUGAUCAGCAAGCUGUGUGGACUGAAGCUAUGGAACUGGUCCCUUGCAGAAAAGAUUUUGUGGAGGCAUAUGAGGUUGAGAUGGAUAUCUCAGAAGCACGUAGGGUCCACAGUGGGUUCGCACCACACUAGUGCCUCCCCUUGCAGCACAGAUUAAAAUGCUCCUAGUACAUCCACACUUUAUCACAGGCAACCCAUGGGAAAAACUUCCAGGACAGAUGACUCAAGGUAAUUUGGUAGUGUGACUGCAUCCUCAGAAAGAGCAGACAAAAAGGGAAAGGCAGACAGCCAGGCGGUCUCUAGCACACUGAGGUCAAAUUCCCCUUUCUGUCACUCUCGGCUAUGGGAAAGUUGAGGACGACAGAGAGGUACCAGACACACUCCCGUGUCUGCUGGCAGAGAUGGGCGAGGCCCCAGGCAGACUGAAACACAUGCUCCUGUGAGCACAACCAUGCAAUCUCUGCCAUCAGAAAGAU